This 436-nucleotide ribosomal RNA is filed under the name uncultured bacterium. Its description in RNAcentral is "bacterial SSU rRNA". It matches the Rfam family "Bacterial small subunit ribosomal RNA", at positions 28 to 447 of the family's 1533-position model. The record is from RNAcentral.
GAUGAACGCUGGCGGCGUGCUUAACACAUGCAAGUCGAACGGGAAAUACUUUAUUGAAACUUCGGUCGAUUUAAUCUAUUUCUAGUGGCGGACGGGUGAGUAACGCGUGGGUAACCUGCCUUAUACUGGGGGAUAACAGCCAGAAAUGGCUGCUAAUACCGCAUAAGCGCACGGGGCCGCAUGGUCCUGUGUGAAAAACUCCGGUGGUAUAAGAUGGACCCGCGUUGGAUUAGCUAGUUGGCAGGGCAGCGGCCUACCAAGGCGACGAUCCAUAGCCGGCCUGAGAGGGUGAACGGCCACAUUGGGACUGAGACACGGCCCAGACUCCUACGGGAGGCAGCAGUGGGGAAUAUUGCACAAUGGGGGAAACCCUGAUGCAGCGACGCCGCGUGAAGGAAGAAGUAUCUCGGUAUGUAAACUUCUAUCAGCAGGGAAG